Molecule: ribosomal RNA, 165 nt
Filed under: uncultured bacterium
Lineage: Bacteria
Description: partial 16S rRNA
Rfam family: Bacterial small subunit ribosomal RNA
Source: RNAcentral
UAGGGAAUCUUCGGCAAUGGGGGCAACCCUGACCGAGCAACGCCGCGUGAGUGAAGAAGGUUUUCGGAUCGCAAAGCUCUGUUGUAAGAGAAGAACGUGUGUGAGAGUGGAAAGUUCACACAGUGACGGUAACUUACCAGAAAGGGACGGCUAACUACGUGCUAG